Molecule: ribosomal RNA, 1132 nt
Filed under: uncultured bacterium
Lineage: Bacteria
Description: bacterial SSU rRNA
Rfam family: Bacterial small subunit ribosomal RNA
Source: RNAcentral
UACAGAGACCCCGAGCGUUAUCCGGAUUUAUUGGGCGUAAAGCGCAUGUAGGCGGAUAUACUAGUCAGAUGUCAAAUCUCCGAGCCCAACUCGGAAACUGCAUUUGAAACGGUAUAUCUGGAGAAAGUGAGAGAUCAAUGGAAUUCAUGGUGUAGUAGUGAAAUGCGUUGAUAUCAUGAGGAACACCAAAGGCGAAGGCAUUUGAUUGGCACUUUUCUGACGCUGAGAUGCGAAAGCGUGGGGAGCGAAGGGGAUUAGAUACCCCCGUAGUCCACGCCGUAAACGAUACAUAUUAGAUGUUGGGAGUAUCGACCCUCCCAGUGUCGUAGCUAACGCGUUAAAUAUGCCGCCUGGGAAGUACGAGCGCAAGCUUAAAACUCAAAGGAAUAGACGGGGAUCCGCACAAGUGGUGGAGCAUGUGGUUUAAUUCGAUGAUAAGCGAGGCACCUCACCAGGGCUUGAAACUUAGCUGUGGCUUUCAGAGAUGAAAGUGUCUUCGAGAACGCUAAGCAGGCGCUGCAUGGUCGUCGUCAGCUCGUGCCGUAAGGUGUUCCCUUAAGUGGGGUAACGAGCGCAACCCCUGUCGUGUGUUAUAUAUGUCACACGAGACUGCCCAGACUAAAGCGCACUUCGUGCUUUAAUUUUAAUUUAUAAAUUUAAAAUUUUAAUUCAAUGAAUUAAUUUUCAAUGAUUUAAUUUUAAAACAAUUUUCAAUUAAAAAAACAAGAUACAAGUUACAAACAAAUCUCAAAUUACAAUAACCAAAUAAUCAAAAGUUUGAAAUUUGGUUAUUGGAAAUUAUUUGUUUCUUGGAAAUUGUUUCUUAAAAAAAUUAUUAAAUUGAAAAUUGAAACAUUUAAAAAUUGAAUUACAAAUUACAAAUUAAAAUUGGAGCGAAGCGAGUUUUAGUCUGGGAGGAAGGAGGGGAUGACGUCAGAUCAGCAUGGCCCUUUGACGCCCUGGGCGACACACGUGCUACAAUGGCCAAUACAGAGGGUUGCGAAACCGCGAGGUGGAGCCAAUCCCAAAAAGUUGGUCCCAGUUCGGAUUGGAGUCUGCAACUCGACUCCAUGAAGCCGGAAUCACUAGUAAUCGGGAAUCAGCCAUGUCCCGGUGAAUACGUUCCCGGAUC